GAAGGCAGAUGCUUCACCAACGGAGCCACCCAGGCUCCCUAAAUUUGUCUACCUAUUUUAAAGGAGAGACUCUGAUAUUUUGGCCUCAUUUCUGUUAAGACCUUAGGACCCAAAGAUUUCUUUUUCAAGCACUUCUGCAGAAAUGAACAGGGAGGGGGAGAGGAGGGAACACAGGUCUCACCCCAUUACGCACUUCUCUGUGUAGUAAUACGGAGACAUCUGUACAAUCCCCAACCAGUCUUGUUACAACAUUUGAAUUCCAGCUGUGACAACAGAAACCAGUUUGAUUUCAGAGUGCACUGUAAUGUGAAUUCAUAGAUAUUCAUAGUUAAAUUUUUACAGUGUGUAGCUAAUUAGAGUCUGCAUUGUGGGGUGAUUCAAAACUGUAUUUUAAUAUGAUGAAAUAAUUGUGGUUAUUUAUUUCUGUUGUAGUCGGGCUGUGAAGUUCUUGUUUGAGAUUCUCAGUAGUUUUGAUAAUGAGCAGCAGAGGUUAUUUCUCCAGUUUGUGACAGGUAGCCCAAGAUUGCCUGUUGGAGGCUUCCGGAGUUUGAAUCCACCUUUGACAAUUGUCCGGAAGACAUUCGAAUCAACAGAAAACCCCGAUGACUUCUUGCCCUCUGUCAUGACGUGCGUGAACUAUCUUAAGUUGCCGGACUACUCGAGCAUUGAGAUAAUGCGUGAGAAACUGUUGAUUGCAGCCAGAGAAGGGCAGCAGUCGUUCCAUCUUUCCUGAUCACAACGAGAAUUGCAGCGUCUGCCUGUUACAGCAAAAGAAAAAAAUCAUGAUUUCUUUUCUAAAUGUAUCACCUGAGUCAAGGAAACAUGUUACGCCUUCUUGUUGUAGGAAAAACGGCUUGCAGAUUAUACAAGAGACACUUGGUUGAUAUUCAUUAAUGGCCCCAUGGACUUAAAAGUGAUCAGGCCCUAAAACGUUGUUGUGAUGAGGUUUCUUUAGCAAGUUCUUGUUUAAAUUAUCAUUUAUUUGAUGAGUGAAGUUUUUAACUUGCUUUGCUGUGUGAAAUUUAAAAAAAGGGAUGUUUUUCCAGGCUGAAACAAUAAAUGUCGCUGUGCAGUUUAAUUCUGGGCUGUGUGUAUCCAUCGAGCUAAGUCUGCAGUUUUGUUUCCUCCAAAGACAACUCUUGUACAUAAGUACAGAAAUUCAAGCUCACGUGUAUUUGACAAAUACGGUCUAGUAGGUUAGCUCUCUGUGCUUUCCACUACCAACCCCCUUCCAUUGCCCUCCCUGAGUCCUGUACUGUCUGCAGUCCACACGGUUCUUUUGUAUACAGCACUCGCGCUGGUUCCAUUCUCGUUAGCCAUGGGCUUCUGUUGUGCCAUGUUCUCUCUCAAAUUAAGAUAUAAUUUAAAACGCAUUGAACAGAAAUAUAUUGUCAGUAUAACUCAGUCUUUGUAGCUAGGUAGACUUCUCUCAUAGCUUAGUUUGAAUCCAGCUGUAGGGCAUUGCUGGCCUUUUCCCAGUGACACCUUAGGACUGUUUACACGGUGAUUCUGGCGACCACAGCAGCCUCUCGACCGAGGCCGGGAAAGCUCGCUCAUUUCCUUUUGUAGGUUACAAAGUCUGCACCUCGGGCUGGCCGAGAUUUAUUAUCCUAAGACCAGAGCAUUUUGAAUUGAUGUAACGUUUUAACCAAAAUUCGCAGUUUUCAUUCCGUUGGAGUAAAAGAAUUUUUUUCUCCCUUGUCCUUAUGUUCUAAGUUUUUGUUCAGAGUCUUCUUCCUUCUACACUCCCCUUCCCCUGCCCCCAGUGCUGACUUGGGACAAACAGUUCAGCCUUUGUCUCGGCACCGAUAAAAGCACCUGUAAGCAAUGCUCUGUCCAGUUGUUUCAUGUCCUGAUUUCUCAAAUCUGCAAGAAUCCAUCAGGUUAAUGUUUUUACCUGAAAAUAAAUAAAGUUUGCUUCACCUUUUUGUUUUUAGUUCUGUGCUGUAUGCAUAACUUUCCAUCGUGUAGAUGUAUUUCAGUGCAAGCAAAUCGUCACGUCUCCAUGAUUUGCAUCAUGGCUGAUUUCGCUAUUCAAAGAAUUUAUAAUAGCAACUUGAAGAACAUAAAACGUGGAAAGAAAAUGGGAGGAGAUUCCUUCCUAAGAUUCAAAAUUAAGCCUGUUGCAUAAAUUUGAGAGAAUUUCCAUAAUUCAUCUUUUUGAAAAUGAGAGAUGAGCUCUUUGUUUUGUUUUUGUUUUUUAUUGAACUUUGAGAAAUCAAUUCUCUUUUGUUUUACAGACUGUUUCAAAGUCUUACUUGGUGUAGACACCCCUUUGUUGCCCAUCCCUCCACUGAAGAGAAACUUCAGUGGCUUGUUUUACUUCGAUGACCUUUUCAUUUUUACACUUACAUGGCCUUAUAUGGAGCAUCCCCCUCCUCACCGAGAACUUGGGCGGUGACCCCCGUUAAGUGUGAUGGAGCUGUCGCAGGAGCUCAGGGGGGCUCUGGCAAGCAAGCAGCUUCACCGUGACGCCCAAGAAGGGAGUUGUGUUUCUGCAGUUCCGACAUUGACAGCCUAGGAGCCGAGCAGUGCGAUCAAGUGAAGUUUUUGUUAACAAAUGAACCGAUUUGUUGGAACUGUUCUGAUACCUUUUUGCAAACUAAGCACAAAGAUUAUUGUGUGAACAUAGCAUUUUGUUCCUCUUUUUUUCUAAGGGUUCUAUUGUUAAAAUUUAGACCUGUAUAAACAAAGCAAUAUUUCCUACUAAAAUAAUCUGUAUCUGACAUUUUAUCCGUAAUGUGGCCCUUGGCAUAUUUGGCCUCAUUGAUUUUCCACAUCAACCAAUACAUUGGAUGGUUUUGAAUCAACCUCUGGAGGUUGGUUGUUUCCAAGUCAGUAGUUCACCUGUUUAAAUGCUUGUAAAGUCUUUAGCUUCCUCCUUUAUGUGUGGGAUCCCUUGUUAAUUAGGGGCAGGAAGACUCUUCCCAUUCUAGAGCAAUCUCUCUUGGCAGAGGCCUUAAUCUUGCAAUGUAGGGAAGAAAGUAUAUACUUCAUUUGCUGUUACUCCAGUUUUGCCUUAACUUUAUUUGCUUAGUAAUCCUGCCAACAAGCACUGAUUUCUCGGUAUGCUUUGUACACCUAGAUGGGUAGUGACUGGGAUUUUGUUUUCCUUUAAUUUUUGCCGAGAUGGAGUCCGAUGUUAAUCACAGCCAACACCAGCUGUGUGGUGGUGUCGUUUAGGCGGUCAGCGGAUCUGAUCUGCUUUGUACAUGAGAACAUAUUUUUAACUAUUUCACUUUAAGAAGGAAGGAAGAGGUAAUUAAAUGAAAUCCCCUCAUCUCAGCCCCUCCAAAAAGUGAAUUGUGAGUUCUAGGUAGUCUAAUCAGGAACAGACACGGAGAGAGUUCUAGAUGCCUUAGCCCAACCCAGCAGAAAACUUUCACACAGCUGCUCAUUGUGAGGAUACAGACUUCUCUCUUCCUGUGCUUCGGCCCUGGUUCCUGCAUUUGUAGUGACCGAGAACUUUCUUUGACUUCAGCAUUCUAUGAAGAAGGUAGUAUCCCUAAAGCCCCUCUUACCUGCCUUUGGCUGUUGCCGUGACUCGGGGACAGGGCAUGAGAGGGGGUGGGGCAGCUGGUUGACUGUAACCAGUCACUUCCUGGUCCGGAGUUACAGCCCUGGGGCGUCCUGUGCAGAAAGGCAAUAAGGCUGAGGGAGAGGCCCCAGGGUCCACACCCCAGAAAGUAGAUCCAGCUCUUGACUUAACACAGUAAGGAUUCUCUCGCCAGCAAAUUCUAAGUGUGUCUUCCCUCUGGUUGGUUCGUCAGCUGUUGAGGCUAUGCUCCUGAUUCCUGUCAGUGCUUAGGAACUCAGGAUAUGGGAAUGUCCCUGAUACUCCAGGAAAGCUGUAACUUGAGAAAGGAGACUUGCAGGGGAAAGACAUAACCAUGCGCUCAGAAGCCAAAUCCUCGUGUGGGAUUCUGGGUGCCAUUGUUCCUUCUCCAUUAGCAAAGAUUUACUUUUCUUUAUCUGAGGCUUUGGUUUUUUGACCCGUUUUAUUUUCCCUACUGUAAUGAGAACGUUCGUUGUUUGGAAAUGUCAUGCUCUGUAUUUCUAAUUCUCAGAAAUGCUUUUGUAUGAGUCUUAGGUUUGACGUUGCAGUAGUUGACAUACCCAGUAAAGGAUAACCUAGUGACAAAUCAUUGAAAAUGCUUCCUCUGUUACCUCAAAAGAAAAAUCCAGACAAAAUAUAGCAUUUAUAUUUAUAGAAAACGGAGGAUUGGUUGUUUUCCAAGAACUUCAAGUUAAUGCAAGAAAAGUUCUUAACUCUGAAGACUUGUCCUGCAUAAAGGAGACAUUCUUUACUAAAGGAAGAGGUGGUUUUAUUUUUACAACAAGCCUACUCAUAUUACCAAACCUAUAACCGAUUGCUGAUCUCCUGUAAAGCAUUUUUUUCUCUUCUCUGAAACAGUGAUUUAUAUGAACUGUUGGAAUAAUGGAACCUCAAACUACAGAUGUGUAUGUAAAAUUGCAUAAAUGCACUGACUUCCUUCUCCCUGAAUAUAUUUUUAAUAAACAGCAUUAUCCUA
Non-coding RNA from Leptonychotes weddellii (Weddell seal), 4532 nucleotides. Lineage: Eukaryota; Metazoa; Chordata; Mammalia; Carnivora; Phocidae. The record is from RefSeq and is a predicted model, not a curated record.